ACGGAGGGUGCAAGCGUUAAUCGGAAUUACUGGGCGUAAAGCGUGCGCAGGCGGUUUGUUAAGUCCGUUGUGAAAGCCCCGAGUUCAACUUGGGGAUUGCAGUGGAUACUGGCAGGCUGGAGUACGGUAGAGGAAGGUGGAAUUCCCGGUGUAGCAGUGAAAUGCGUAGAGAUCGGGAGGAACACCCGUGGCGAAGGCGGCCAUCUGGACCAGUACUGACGCUGAGGCACGAAAGCGUGGGGAGCAAACAGGA
Molecule: ribosomal RNA, 253 nt
Filed under: uncultured prokaryote
Description: partial 16S ribosomal RNA
Rfam family: Bacterial small subunit ribosomal RNA
Source: RNAcentral